UGGGGAAUAUUGCACAAUGGGCGCAAGCCUGAUGCAGCAAUGCCGCGUGAGUGAAGACGGCCUUAGGGUUGUAAAACUCUUUCGCUAGGGAAGAUAAUGACGGUACCUAGUAAAGAAGUCCCGGCUAACUCCGUGCCAGCAGCCGCGGUAAUACGGAGGGGACUAGCGUUGUUCGGAAUUACUGGGCGUAAAGAGUUCGUAGGCGGACUAGCAAGUUAGAGGUGAAAUCCCAGGGCUCAAACCUUGGAACUGCCCUUUAAAACUGCUAGUCUAGAGACCGGAAGAGGUUAGGGGAAUACCUAGUGUAGAGGUGAAAUUCGUAGAUAUUAGGGUGGAACACCAGUGGCGAAGGCGCCUAACUGGUCCGGUACUGACGCUGAGGAACGAAAAGCGUGGGGAGCAAACAGGAUUAGAUACCCUGGUAGUCCACGCCGUAAAACGAUGAGUGCUAGAUGUUGGGAUUUUCGGAUUUUCA
Molecule: ribosomal RNA, 475 nt
Filed under: uncultured bacterium
Lineage: Bacteria
Description: bacterial SSU rRNA
Rfam family: Bacterial small subunit ribosomal RNA
Source: RNAcentral